This 362-nucleotide long non-coding RNA is filed under the name Fukomys damarensis (Damara mole-rat). Its description in RNAcentral is "lncRNA (ENSFDAG00000023804.1)". The record is from RNAcentral. Lineage: Eukaryota; Metazoa; Chordata; Mammalia; Rodentia; Bathyergidae.
CUGGAGAGUUGAAAGCAGUUUCCUGGUGGUGGUGGUGGUGGUGGAUUUGAAACUUAUUGGAGCAAUGUGCCUUUAAGGUGAUGUCAUGCAAACAACAUGGUGGUGUGUGGGUGUCUUAACGCGUCGGAUUUUUGCUGGCUAACUCAGAAGCCUGGUGGUCUCUCUGGCUGUUUAUCAUUAUAGAUGGUGAGGUUAACUCUUCACAGCCCGCACUGCUUACAGCCUGCGUUGGGCAUAAUCAGUAUCGCUACCUCCCUCGGGAUGUGAACUCCCCAAGGAAGACAAAGAGGGAAUCCCAAGAGCGGCAGAUCCUGUCCACUGUUGACUCCACCACAACCGCACUGCUCAUUGUAAUAGAAAAC